CUUGCUUUCUCGAGCGAGUGGCGAACGGGUGAGUAACGCGUGAGGAACCUGCCUCAAAGAGGGGGACAACAGUUGGAAACGACUGCUAAUACCGCAUAAGCCCACAGCUCGGCAUCGAGCAGAGGGAAAAGGAGCAAUCCGCUUUGAGAUGGCCUCGCGUCCGAUUAGCCAGUUGGUGAGGUAACGGCCCACCAAGGCAACGAUCGGUAGCCGGACUGAGAGGUUGAACGGCCACAUUGGGACUGAGACACGGCCCAGACUCCUACGGGAGGCAGCAGUGGGGAAUAUUGCACAAUGGGGGAAACCCUGAUGCAGCGACGCCGCGUGGAGGAAGAAGGUCUUCGGAUUGUAAACUCCUGUUGUUGAGGAAGAUAAUGACGGUACUCAACAAGGAAGUGACGGCUAACUACGUGCCAGCAGCCGCGGUAAAACGUAGGUCACAAGCGUUGUCCGGAAUUACUGGGUGUAAAGGGAGCGCAGGCGGGAAGACAAGUUGGAAGUGAAAUCUAUGGGCUCAACCCAUAAACUGCUUUCAAAACUGUUUUUCUUGAGUAGUGCAGAGGUAGGCGGAAUUCCCGGUGUAGCGGUGGAAUGCGUAGAUAUCGGGAGGAACACCAGUGGCGAAG
This 626-nucleotide ribosomal RNA is filed under the name uncultured Lachnospiraceae bacterium. RNAcentral describes it as "bacterial SSU rRNA". It matches the Rfam family "Bacterial small subunit ribosomal RNA", at positions 72 to 720 of the family's 1533-position model. Lineage: Bacteria; Bacillati; Bacillota; Clostridia; Lachnospirales; Lachnospiraceae. The record is from RNAcentral.